GAUGAACGCUGGCGGCGUGCCUAAUACAUGCAAGUCGAGCGAACAGGCGAGGAGCUUGCUCCUCUGACGUUAGCGGCGGACGGGUGAGUAACACGUGGAUAACCUACCUAUAAGACUGGGAUAACUUCGGGAAACCGGAGCUAAUACCGGAUAAUAUAUUGAACCGCAUGGUUCAAUAGUGAAAGACGGUUUUGCUGUCACUUAUAGAUGGAUCCGCGCCGCAUUAGCUAGUUGGUAAGGUAACGGCUUACCAAGGCGACGAUGCGUAGCCGACCUGAGAGGGUGAUCGGCCACACUGGAACUGAGACACGGUCCAGACUCCUACGGGAGGCAGCAGUAGGGAAUCUUCCGCAAUGGGCGAAAGCCUGACGGAGCAACGCCGCGUGAGUGAUGAAGGUCUUCGGAUCGUAAAACUCUGUUAUUAGGGAAGAACAAAUGUGUAAGUAACUAUGCACGUCUUGACGGUACCUAAUCAGAAAGCCACGGCUAACUACGU
This 496-nucleotide ribosomal RNA is filed under the name uncultured bacterium. RNAcentral describes it as "partial 16S ribosomal RNA". It matches the Rfam family "Bacterial small subunit ribosomal RNA", at positions 28 to 506 of the family's 1533-position model. The record is from RNAcentral.